CGAUGUGGUGGUGAUUGGCAGAAUGUUUACUGCUCUGAAGAAGUGAAUGAAAGCAGCUUUUCUGAAUAUCU
Trichosurus vulpecula (common brushtail) is the source of this 71-nucleotide small nucleolar RNA. RefSeq annotates it as small nucleolar RNA Z40. The record is from RefSeq and is a predicted model, not a curated record. The transcript has a single exon. NCBI's taxonomy places the organism in Eukaryota, Metazoa, Chordata, Mammalia, Diprotodontia, Phalangeridae.